GGCAGUUGUCGGGUGAUGCAUCCCGGAAUUGGCCUCCCUCCUCUCCGGUUCUGGGUGUGUCACCUGAGAACCACA
Molecule: non-coding RNA, 75 nt
Organism: Myotis davidii
Lineage: Eukaryota; Metazoa; Chordata; Mammalia; Chiroptera; Vespertilionidae
Source: Rfam